UAUAUUUUAGUGUAUGAUGCACAUAGAGUUUUGAUUUCUAAAGAUUAGUUUAAUUCUAAAAAGUAUAA
This 68-nucleotide transfer RNA is filed under the name Perittopus sp. HL-2012. Its description in RNAcentral is "tRNA-Gln". The record is from RNAcentral. Lineage: Eukaryota; Metazoa; Arthropoda; Insecta; Hemiptera; Veliidae.